RNAcentral lists this ribosomal RNA (446 nucleotides) under Bifidobacterium longum. Its description in RNAcentral is "bacterial SSU rRNA". It matches the Rfam family "Bacterial small subunit ribosomal RNA", at positions 214 to 672 of the family's 1533-position model. The record is from RNAcentral. Lineage: Bacteria; Bacillati; Actinomycetota; Actinomycetes; Bifidobacteriales; Bifidobacteriaceae.
CGCGGUAUGGGAUGGGGUCGCGUCCUAUCAGCUUGACGGCGGGGUAACGGCCCACCGUGGCUUCGACGGGUAGCCGGCCUGAGAGGGCGACCGGCCACAUUGGGACUGAGAUACGGCCCAGACUCCUACGGGAGGCAGCAGUGGGGAAUAUUGCACAAUGGGCGCAAGCCUGAUGCAGCAACGCCGCGUGAGGGAUGGAGGCCUUCGGGUUGUAAACCUCUUUUAUCGGGGAGCAAGCGAGAGUGAGUUUACCCGUUGAAUAAGCACCGGCUAACUACGUGCCAGCAGCCGCGGUAAUACGUAGGGUGCAAGCGUUAUCCGGAAUUAUUGGGCGUAAAGGGCUCGUAGGCGGUUCGUCGCGUCCGGUGUGAAAGUCCAUCGCUUAACGGUGGAUCCGCGCCGGGUACGGGCGGGCUUGAGUGCGGUAGGGGAGACUGGAAUUCCCG